ACGUGUGUUGCGCGUCGUUGAGUGUAAAGAGUAGAAAAGUUUCCAGUCCAGCAGCUUCUAUCGUUGGCGAUGGGCACUGGCUCGUAUCGUGCCGUAUUGUACUGCGCUUUAGCAAAUACCUAAAACAUUGCCUGGCAAAGCAUUUGCCAUAAAGUUGCAUUUAUUAUGUUGUGUGAAUUUGUUAUUGUGAUCGAAAGACGUCUUCUGUCUUAGAUGCCUCGUGAAUUUUGAUAUAAAUAUAAUGACAGACUUACACAUUGUGAAUUAGAAGGCACACAACAAAACGAAUGCUCUGCGUGCGAACCCCGACGACGAAAUCAUUCCAUCCAGCCGUCGAAGCCGUGUUCUCGGGGGUUUGGGAUUGUGAUUUUGUAUAAAUCUCUAGUUAUGUGCCAACAACUAUACAAAAUAAAGACAAUCUAAAACGGUACGAGCUGUCUGCAAAGCUGCUCGAAGGAUCUGCCGAGCCCGCAUUAUCUGUGAUAUACAGCUCAGCCUCUCGUCCGUCCUAUAA
Long non-coding RNA from Hyposmocoma kahamanoa, 514 nucleotides. RefSeq lists it as uncharacterized. Lineage: Eukaryota; Metazoa; Arthropoda; Insecta; Lepidoptera; Cosmopterigidae. The record is from RefSeq and is a predicted model, not a curated record. The transcript has 3 exons.